This is a long non-coding RNA of Oncorhynchus keta (chum salmon), 385 nucleotides long. RefSeq lists it as uncharacterized. NCBI's taxonomy places the organism in Eukaryota, Metazoa, Chordata, Actinopteri, Salmoniformes, Salmonidae. The record is from RefSeq and is a predicted model, not a curated record. The transcript is spliced from 3 exons.
AGACAGAUGAGGAACGUCUUGUCUCUGAGAUGGUUAAUAGUUCAGACAGAUGAGGAAUGUCUUGUCUCUGAGAGGGUUAAUAGUUCAGACAGAUGAGGAACGUCUUGUCUCUGAGAUGGGUUAAUAGUUCAGAUGAGGAACGUCUUGUCUCUGAGAUGGUUAAUAGUUCAGAUGAGGAGCGUCUUGUCUCUGAGAUGGUUAAUAGUUCAGACAGAUGAGGAGCGUCUUGUCUCUGAGAGGGUUAAUAGUUCAGACAGAUGAGGAACGUCUUGUGUCUGAGAGGGUUAAUAGUUCAGACAGAUGAGGAACGUCUUGUCUCUGAGAUGGUUAAUAGUUCAGACAGAUGAGGAACGUCUUGUCUCUGAGAGGGUUAAUAGUUCAGACA